UACGUAGGGUGCAGGCGUUAAUCGGAAUUACUGGGCGUAAAGCGUGCGCAGGCGGUCUGCUAAGAGAGAUGUGAAAUCCCCGGGCUCAACCUGGGAAUUGCGAUGGAGACUGCAAGGCUGGAGUCUGGCAGAGGGGGGUAGAAUUCCACGUGUAGCAGUGAAAUGCGUAGAGAUGUGGAGGAACACCGAUGGCGAAGGCAGCCCCCUGGGUCAAGACUGACGCUCAUGCACGAAAGCGUGGGGAGCAAACAGG
This 253-nucleotide ribosomal RNA is filed under the name uncultured bacterium. RNAcentral describes it as "partial 16S ribosomal RNA". It matches the Rfam family "Bacterial small subunit ribosomal RNA", at positions 524 to 776 of the family's 1533-position model. The record is from RNAcentral.